GACACAAGGAAAUCGUUUUACACAAAUGAGCAUCCUGAUGAUUUGGGGAGUUUCUUAAUGACUGAACAGUCGUAGAGUUAUACAUGGCUUACUGGCAACUGUGGUCCACUAAUACUAUUUACCCAACCAAAUUAGUUCCUAAUUAGAUGAGUGCCAGAGCAGAAAGGCCAGGAAAUGAAAUAUUUUUGACAGAUAAAAAUGGAAAAAAAUUACACAGCUUAGGAUGAAAAAUAGACAAGAAAAAAGGGUGAGGUGAGAGCCGCACAGCAACAUGUGACCUUUUCAAUUCUGACCUUUAAUUAUGACACCUCAAUGAGGCUCGUUGUUUUGACUCCUGUCAUCUUUAUCUUUUCCGUCUUUAAUUGUAAGCACACGUUACUAUGGUGAUUUUACAUGCUGCCGAUAUGAAAAAGAUUAAGACAGUGCUUCCAUGUGACAAUUCUCAAACACGGAAAUGUUAAUGAAUCUGGAGGCAGUCUGAGCCUAUUUUCAGGUGCUGUGGAUUUGUUAUUGUGUGUGUGGGACUGCAUGAAUCAGCGGUGACAGCUCUCCAAGUUAUUGGGAAAAUACAAGGACAGGGAGGUUGACUGCAGGCUCAGAGCUUCACUUAAUCCAUUUGGUACGCAGCACGAAUCAAAACGUCUGGAACAGGUGCUGUUGCUGGUGUUGGAGCUGGAGGUGGAGUGGAAACUUCUGCCACUCCUGUCUCUACAUAAUCCUUAAAGGCAGCAAUGUCACUUUCUUUCUCUACGAUGAUGCAGAGCGGGGUUCCCAGGGGAACGUCCCGAGUUCCCUCUGGCACCAUGAUUUUGGCCAAAUAGCCCUCCUCCUGCACCUCAAAGCCUAAAACACAUCAGAGGGACAUGUGAGCAACGCCUGGACAGCUGGACUUGAGGUGACAUGACAUGGGAAGCCCUCGGGUAUACAGGUCAAAUGCAGAAAAAAAGAGACUUCCCGAAAGAAGCAACCACAAAACAAUAGCAAAUAUUUCCACGUUUGCAAGCAAGCAGCCACAAAUGGUCUUUUUUGCUGUUUAGAUCACUGAUGCACAACUACAAACAGGGUUUUGUCGUGACAGCAUUUUUAAUAAUUGCAAUUUCAGGAUGAAGCUCAUGUUUACGUUGUACCUAGCAGUAAUGUGAUGAUUUCCUGAAAAUGUAAUGGUCACAUGAAAUGUAAUUAAAUUUCCACUAAACCUGAUCAAAAAUGUAACAAACCCCACUAAUGUGACUUUCACAUAUUUACCCAGAUGUGAACCCCAGUCGUGAGGCUUCUGUUCUUCACGUGCACUGGACGUGUCUGAGCCUUGAAAAAUACCGAAAGGAUGUUUUCCAAACCUUAUCCUCAAUCCUCAACUUUGACCUGCGACCCAUCCCUCUGGUCGCCCUCUUUGGCACCACCACAGAGGAUGAUGUACCCGUGCCCGUCUGGCCUCUCUGCUGGCCAGACAGGCAGUUCCAAUCAGAUGGAGGGAUGUUGCCAUGCCCACUCCUGCCCAGUGGCUGAAGGACAUUACAUCCUGCCUUAAUCUUGAAAAGAUUAGCUACUCCAUUUAUAACUCAGAUAAAAAAUUCCAAAAAGUGUGGGGCCCCUUUCUGAAACACUUCCAGAGCUUUCCGUUAAAGUGAGGAUAAUAUAAUUUUGACAGGUAAUGUAAUAAGUUUAAAAAGUAUGCUUUUUUUCCUCUGAAAUGUACAGUGUGCAAGUAUACAAAAUCUUUGAUGAGCCAUGAAGACAAACAGUUCAUUCAGUCUUCAUAAAAUGUUCUUCUCAUUCUUCUCAUCUGAGUCAACAGCGAUUCUUAUUGAAUAAAGUGUCUCAUCUGCCUCGCCUGAUUCUAUAAAAUUUCUUCACGGGUAGAGGGGAAUUCACACAUCCAAAUAUAAACCUAAUAAAAACUAAUAAAUAUCUUACAUAAAUAAACACAUUCAAACAGUCCUCCUCAAUAGUUCUGGGAGUGUUACAACAAGCAGGAAGUGGGCAGAGGGGAGUUCAGUUGUACUGUUGAAAUGUAUUCAUUUGCGAUUUAUUACCUAGUUAUUUUAUUAUAUUAUAAUUAACCUUUAUUUAACUAGGAAGUCCCACUGAGAUUAAAAAUCUCUUACAAGAGAGACCUAGCCGAAGUAGCAGCCAAUCAAAACACAUUUAAAAUGCAUCAAAUACAACAUAUAAUACAAAAAUCCACAAUAAAACAACAACUAUUCAAACAUAAAAACAAACACAUGUCUCUAUCACCACUUUCUUUAUGUUCCACUUAAAUUCAUCUGUGUUUCUAAUUUCAGAUCUUUUAGAAGACUGUUUCACGUCCAAGGUGCAGAGUAGGAGAACGCACUUUUCCCCACAUCUGUUAAAACCCGGUGCUCAUUCAAAAGCAAUCACUUGGAGGAGAGGAGCUGGCAACUACCACAGCUGACACACACAAGGGCGCAGAGGUAGGCUGGAAGUUUGCCCAAAAUUGCUUUAUAGAUAAAAAUAUACCAGUGCUGUUGUCUGCGAGUGGUCAGUGAUGUCCAACCCACCAAAGCAUCAAAACAUAGAGAUGCAUGGUAUACUGAAUCAAGGCUAUGUAAAAUGAUGGAGGUUGCAUGCAUAUACAAUAUGCCACUGUAAUCAAUCACAGACUGUAAAGCAGCUUCCACAAAUGUUUUCUUUUUAACUGGACAUCUAGUACCGGCGACCUGUCGUUACAUCAAUAUGGCUUUAAUAUGUGUUUUGGGUUGGGUAAGAUAUGUGAUUUGGCUUAAGUUAACAGUACAGCUCUUUUGCAACGUCUUGACAACAUCAGUCAGUACAUUUUAUAACAUUAUUGAUCAGGUUAUUACAGUAUGGGGUUUUAUUGCAUUUUAAAUCAAGUUAAUUGCAAAUUUUAUUACAUUACUGGGUGCUACAUGUAUCAAUAUUAAAAACCCUGACAGCAUAAUCUCAGUGAGAAAAAGUAUGGAGCAGCAGUUUUAUUUGAUUGCCUCCUUAAAACUUACAAUAUCUACACGCAUGAUGGUCCAACCUGCUUUCUGAACUAUUCCACACAGCUAACAGCUUGAUACCAGCAUCUAAUGUUAGCUUCAAAGACUGGACGACACACAAAUCACUUUCAAAUCAUGAAUUAUGUUCAAACAUUUUGGUUUCACUCAUUAAAUGUAAAGCCACUCUGUGCUGAAUUUUUAUGUGACUGUUACAUCUUUCAUUCUGAUAGCAUAAAUCAUGUCAUCCCUGUGUUGCUUUCAGCCUGUUCACCUCACUGCUCUACACAGUGGUUUUACAUUUUAAGAUUAACCACUGAGAAACCAGACCGUCAGACUAAACAACCCUGAUAAAACUACAUCUGUAGCUACAGGACACUGUGACUGUAAACAUCCUCUACACUACUCAAAAUCUGACUGUGCUUUGUUUAUGCAAG
Epinephelus moara (kelp grouper) is the source of this 3397-nucleotide long non-coding RNA. RefSeq lists it as uncharacterized. Lineage: Eukaryota; Metazoa; Chordata; Actinopteri; Perciformes; Serranidae. The transcript has 3 exons. The record is from RefSeq and is a predicted model, not a curated record.